This 30-nucleotide non-coding RNA is filed under the name Mus musculus (house mouse). The record is from RNAcentral. Lineage: Eukaryota; Metazoa; Chordata; Mammalia; Rodentia; Muridae.
UCACCAACAGUCAGUGGUAGCCACUGUAGA